GACGAACGCUGGCGGCGUGCUUAACACAUGCAAGUCGAACGGAAAGGCCCUGCUUUUGUGGGGUGCUCGAGUGGCGAACGGGUGAGUAACACGUGAGUAACCUGCCCUUGACUUUGGGAUAACUUCAGGAAACUGGGGCUAAUACCGGAUAGGAGCUCCUGCUGCAUGGUGGGGGUUGGAAAGUUUCGGCGGUUGGGGAUGGACUCGCGGCUUAUCAGCUUGUUGGUGGGGUAGUGGCUUACCAAGGCUUUGACGGGUAGCCGGCCUGAGAGGGUGACCGGCAACAGAGGGACAUGGAGACGGACCGGAGGGAGACGGGCGGAAGGAGGGGGGGAGAGAGGGCAAGGCGCGGAGGUCUGAUGCAGCGUCGCCGCGUGCGGAAUGGCGGCCUUCGGGGUGUAACAAGCGUGCACCUGUGACGAAGCGGCAAUGAGGGUAGUGAGGAGAGAAGAACGGGCAAACUACUU
This 467-nucleotide ribosomal RNA is filed under the name uncultured bacterium. RNAcentral describes it as "partial 16S ribosomal RNA". It matches the Rfam family "Bacterial small subunit ribosomal RNA", at positions 28 to 506 of the family's 1533-position model. The record is from RNAcentral.